This 724-nucleotide ribosomal RNA is filed under the name uncultured bacterium. Its description in RNAcentral is "bacterial SSU rRNA". It matches the Rfam family "Bacterial small subunit ribosomal RNA", at positions 128 to 896 of the family's 1533-position model. The record is from RNAcentral.
ACCCUUUGUAAGGGAUAACGUUUGGAAACGGACGCUAAUACCUUAUGAGCACUAUGGUGGAAAGAUUUAUCGCCAAAGGAUCAUUCCAAGUCGGAUUAGCUAGUUGUAGGGGUAAAGGCUCUACAAGGCGAUGAUCCGUAGCCGGCCUGAGAGGGUGAUCGGCCACACCGGGACUGAGACACGGCCCGGACUCCUACGGGAGGCAGCAGUGGGGAAUAUUGGACAAUGGGGGCAACCCUGAUCCAGCCAUGCCGCGUGCGUGAAGAAGGCCUUAGGGUUGUAAAGCGCUUUUGUCAGGGAAGAUAAUGACUGUACCUGAAGAAUAAGCCCCGGCUAACUCCGUGCCAGCAGCCGCGGUAAGACGGAGGGGGCUAGCGUUGUUCGGAAUUACUGGGCGUAAAGGGCGCGUAGGGGCCUUGUAUGUCAGGGGUGAAAUCCCGGGGCUCAACCCCGAACUGCUCUUGAAACUGCGAGGCUAGAGUGAGUAAGAGGCGGACGGAAUUCCGAGUGUAGCAGUGAAAUGCGUAGAUAUUCGGAGGAACAUCGGUGGCGAAGGGGUUCGCUGGUACUCUACUGACGCUGAGGCGCGAAAGUGGGGAGCAAACAGGAUUAGAUACCCUGGUAGUCCACGCCGUAAACGAUGAGGACUAGCUAUUUUGCUUUCGGGCAGGGUGGCGCAGUAACGCAUUAAGUUCUCCGCCUGGGGAGUACGGUCGCAAGACUA